CUUAAGUAGCGCCCCCUGAGUAAGGCCAGGCUUCUUCACAAGGCUGACUCUUCCACAGUCUCCCCUUUUUCUUAUUUAGUGUCUCCUCACUGGCUGGACAUCUCUCGUGCGGCAUCCCUCUCAGCCCUGCCCUGGCCCUGAGCAACCCCACUUUCUCGUCUAUCUUCAGGCCUCCACGAACACCGUGAUUUCCCACUGUGGCGGGAGCAUUCACUCUGCCACCCAGAUGAAGAAACUGGAGUUCAGAAAAGUCAGGCAGCCGCGUGCAAGGGUCCUGGAAUGCCACAAACUUCUGAAAACUGCCUGUCAGGAUCACACAGAUACUUGGAGGAAAGAUCUUCAAACCAAGUGUCAGAAAUGAGAGAUGAGCUUGUGUGACCCCACUUCACCGCGCACAUGUUAUCAACCCUUAGUCACCGGAUGGUGGUGGUGCGGCUGCGUGGAAGGAGAUCCUACAAAUAAAAUAGGAAAUAUGUGGAUGUGUGUGUUUUGACUCCAUAUUAAAGGAAAAAAAAAAAAAACCCUUUGGGUUCUUCUUUCCAAAAUUGUGAUAUAAAGGUAUGAACCUUUCAUUUUUUGAAGUCUUUUUGGGAAAGGCGUAAAGCACGCCCAGGACAGUCAGGGGACCAUAUUUUGUGCAACAGCAAUUCUUCUAAAUAUAGAACGCACAGCGAUCACAAGAGGGAUGCGAGCGGUGUCCUUGGAUGCUCCGCAGAACAGGCGGAUGACAAAGCUGCUAAGAAGGUUUACAUCGAAAUCCUGCGCUCCCCGAUUUAGCAGAAGGCUUAUUUCGCUCUCUCGCAUGAGUGGGUUGCAGGAGCAGACCCACGGCAGUUGCAUUUUGAAUCCAUUCUUUGCCUCGUCCCAGGCCUGCCUUAAAGGUACACACUUCCCACAGCGCCUCUGUGGCUCAGGUGGUGAAGCGUCCGACUUCAGCGCAGGUCAUGAUCUCCCGCUUCGUGGGUUCGAGCCCUGCGUCCGACUCUGGGCUGACAGCUCGGAGCCUGGAGCCUGCUUCG
Molecule: long non-coding RNA, 1019 nt
Organism: Felis catus (domestic cat)
Lineage: Eukaryota; Metazoa; Chordata; Mammalia; Carnivora; Felidae
Exons: 3
Source: RefSeq, a predicted model, not a curated record